Molecule: signal recognition particle RNA, 79 nt
Filed under: Lacticaseibacillus paracasei ATCC 334
Lineage: Bacteria; Bacillati; Bacillota; Bacilli; Lactobacillales; Lactobacillaceae
Also listed under: 1 other name
Description: Lactobacillus casei ATCC 334 Bacterial small signal recognition particle RNA
Rfam family: Bacterial small signal recognition particle RNA
About the family: The signal recognition particle (SRP) is a universally conserved ribonucleoprotein involved in the co-translational targeting of proteins to membranes. Archaeal SRP consists of a 7S RNA and homologues of the eukaryotic SRP19 and SRP54 proteins. In most bacteria, the SRP consists of a 4.5S RNA and the Ffh protein (a homologue of the eukaryotic SRP54 protein).
Source: Rfam by way of RNAcentral
AAGGCAAUGAUGGCUUUCCGAAUCGUGUCAGGUCCGGAAGGAAGCAGCACUAAGGUAGGUUCGUCAUGUGCCUUUUGUU